RNAcentral lists this ribosomal RNA (253 nucleotides) under uncultured bacterium. Its description in RNAcentral is "partial 16S ribosomal RNA". It matches the Rfam family "Bacterial small subunit ribosomal RNA", at positions 524 to 776 of the family's 1533-position model. The record is from RNAcentral.
UACGUAGGGUGCGAGCGUUAAUCGGAAUUACUGGGCGUAAAGGGCGCGUAGGCGGCCUGCUAAGUCGGACGUGAAAUCCCUCGGCUCAACCGGGGAACUGCGUCCGAUACUGGUGGGCUCGAAUCCGGGAGAGGGAUGUGGAAUUCCAGGUGUAGCGGUGAAAUGCGUAGAUAUCUGGAGGAACACCGGUGGCGAAGGCGGCAUCCUGGACCGGUAUUGACGCUGAUGCGCGAAAGCCAGGGGAGCAAACGGG